Molecule: ribosomal RNA, 253 nt
Filed under: uncultured bacterium
Lineage: Bacteria
Description: partial 16S ribosomal RNA
Rfam family: Bacterial small subunit ribosomal RNA
Source: RNAcentral
UACGUAGGGAGCAAGCGUUGUCCGGAAUUAUUGGGCGUAAAGGGCUCGUAGGCGGUUUGUCGCGUCGGGAGUGAAAACCCAGGGCUUAACCCUGGGCUGGCUUCCGAUACGGGCAGACUAGAGGUAUGCAGGGGAGAACGGAAUUCCUGGUGUAGCGGUGAAAUGCGCAGAUAUCAGGAGGAACACCGGUGGCGAAGGCGGUUCUCUGGGCAUUACCUGACGCUGAGGAGCGAAAGUGUGGGGAGCGAACAGG